This 62-nucleotide transfer RNA is filed under the name Osbornellus sp. EMHAU-2015-Zz052506. Its description in RNAcentral is "tRNA-Tyr". Lineage: Eukaryota; Metazoa; Arthropoda; Insecta; Hemiptera; Cicadellidae. The record is from RNAcentral.
ACUAAGAUGUCUGAUUUAAGUAAUAAACUGUAAAUUUAUUUAAGAACUUUGUUCUCUUAGUA